AACGAACGCUGGCGGCAGGCCUAACACAUGCAAGUCGAGCGGACCUUUCGGGGUCAGCGGCGGACGGGUGAGUAACGCGUGGGAAUAUGCCCUUCUCUACGGAAUAGUCCUGGGAAACUGGGGGUAAUACCGUAUACGCCCUUUGGGGGAAAGAUUUAUCGGGGAAGGAUUAGCCCGCGUUGGAUUAGGUAGUUGGUGGGGUAAUGGCCUACCAAGCCGACGAUCCAUAGCUGGUUUGAGAGGAUGAUCAGCCACACUGGGACUGAGACACGGCCCAGACUCCUACGGGAGGCAGCAGUGGGGAAUCUUAGACAAUGGGGGCAACCCUGAUCUAGCCAUGCCGCGUGAGUGAUGAAGGCCUUAGGGUUGUAAAGCUCUUUCAACUGGGAAGAUAAUGACGGUACCAGCAGAAGAAGCCCCGGCUAACUCCGUG
This 433-nucleotide ribosomal RNA is filed under the name uncultured bacterium. RNAcentral's name for it is "partial 16S ribosomal RNA". It matches the Rfam family "Bacterial small subunit ribosomal RNA", at positions 29 to 507 of the family's 1533-position model. The record is from RNAcentral.